RNAcentral lists this transfer RNA (62 nucleotides) under Lupinus albus (white lupine). It matches the Rfam family "tRNA". From Rfam's summary of the family: Transfer RNA (tRNA) molecules are approximately 80 nucleotides in length. Their secondary structure includes four short double-helical elements and three loops (D, anti-codon, and T loops). Further hydrogen bonds mediate the characteristic L-shaped molecular structure. tRNAs have two regions of fundamental functional importance: the anti-codon, which is responsible for specific mRNA codon recognition, and the 3' end, to which the tRNAs corresponding amino acid is attached (by aminoacyl-tRNA synthetases). tRNAs cope with the degeneracy of the genetic code in two manners: having more than one tRNA (with a specific anti-codon) for a particular amino acid; and 'wobble' base-pairing, i.e. permitting non-standard base-pairing at the 3rd anti-codon position. The record is from Rfam by way of RNAcentral. Lineage: Eukaryota; Viridiplantae; Streptophyta; Magnoliopsida; Fabales; Fabaceae.
GGCCCAUUAGCUCAGUUGGUUAGAGCGUCGUGCUAAUAACGCGAAGGUUCCUGCAUGGGCCA